RNAcentral lists this ribosomal RNA (1858 nucleotides) under Kryptoperidinium foliaceum. RNAcentral describes it as "partial Eukaryotic large subunit ribosomal RNA". It matches the Rfam family "Eukaryotic large subunit ribosomal RNA", at positions 1 to 1881 of the family's 3401-position model. The record is from RNAcentral. Lineage: Eukaryota; Dinophyceae; Peridiniales; Kryptoperidiniaceae.
UGAAGCCAAGCUCGGGCACCCGCUGAAUUUAAGCAUAUAAGUAAGCGGAGGAUCGGAAACUAAACAGGAUUCCCUUAGUAAUGGCGAAUGAACAGGGAUGCGCUCGGACUGGGAAUCGUGGCCUUCGGCUUUGACUUGUAGUCUGUAGUUGCAAAGCUAACAGAGGCGCAGGCGAAAAUCUGUUGGAAUAUUGGGCAUAGAGGGUGAGAGUCCCGUCCGCCAUGCGCAGUCCUCCGUGUACAGCUUGUGCCAAAGAGUCGCGCUCCUCGGGAGUGGAGUGCAAAGCGGGUGGUAAAUUUCAUCCGAAGCUAAAUACAUGUUCGAGAUCGACAGUGGACAAGUACCAUGAGGGAAAGGUGAAAAGGACUUUGAAAAGAGAGCUAAAAGGACAUGAAUUCGCUGAAAGGGAAGCGAAUGGGACUAGACGCGUUGGGCGAGAUUGCAGCCAUGUUUGCGAGGCCCUGCCGUUUUGGUACAAACACUGCGGCGGGUUGCGAGCAAUGAUUCGUUGUGUCUCUCGUUCAGCAUGCGACCCGUAGCGCAUCUUUGAAGACAACGUUUGUGUGCGGAAUCCUUCCCUGGCGGGUGUGCACGCUGGUACGAAAUCCAUCGAUGCGCUGCUUGGUUGCGACUUAGUUUCCUUCGACCCGUCUUGUAACACGGACCAAGGAGUCUAACACGUGUGCGAGUCUGGGGGGACACACCCAGGAGCGAAACGAAAGUGAGAGCCGGGACUUCGCCGCACCGGCAACCGACUGACCAAUUGUGGGAGGUUUGAGUAUGAGCACACAUGCUAGGACCCGAAAGAUGGUGAACUAUGCCUGUGAAGAGUAAACUCAGGGGAAACUCUGAUGGAGGCUCGUAGCGAUACUGACGUGCAAAUCGUUCGUCAAACAUGGGUAUAGGGGCGAAAGACUAAUCGAACCAUCUAGUAGCUGGUUUCCUCCGAAGUUUCCCUCAGGAUAGCUGGAGUUGAACAGUUGUUUCAGGUAAAGCGAAUGAUUAGAGGAAUCGGGGGCGCGUAGCCCUCGACCUAUUCUCAAACUUUAAAUGGGUACGAGCCAAUGGUUGCUUAGGUGAACUUUUGGGAGAAAUGACGACUCUAAGUGGGCCACUUUUGGUAAGCAGAACUGGCGAUGAGGGAUGAACCUAUCGUUGGGUUAAGGCGCUGAACUGCCCGCUCAUUCGAUACCACAAAGGGUGUUGGUUCAUUUUAACAGCAGGACGGUGGUCAUGGAAGUCGAAAUCCGCUAAGGAGUGUGUAACAACUCACCUGCCGAAUGGACUAGCCCCGAAAAUGGAUGGCGCUCAAGCGUGUGGCCAAUACCCGACCAUCGUUGCAGUGCUGUAGCAUCGACGAGUAGGAGGGCGUGGGGGUUUGCCUCGAAGCUUCGGCCGCAAGGUUGGGUGAAGCAGCCUCUAGUGCAGAUCUUGGUGGUAGUAGCAAAUAUUCAAAUGGGAACUUUGAAGAUCGAAGUGGAGAAGGGUUCCAUGUGAACAGUACUUGGACAUGGGUUAGUCGAUCCUAAGGGAUAGGGAUAUUCCGCAUAUGCAGGCUUAGCCCCGCUUCUCGAAAGGGCAUGGGGUCAAUACUCCCCAACUAGGACAUGGAUACUUGAUGGCAACAUAAGAGAACUCGGCAAUACAGACGGAGGCCUUGGACAGCGUUGUCUUUUCUUCCUAACCAUCUGGUACCCUGAAAUCAGAUUGCCUGGAGAUAGGGUUCACUCUUGGGUAAAGCACCUUGUCUUCCGAGGUGUCCGGUGCGCUUCCGGCUGUCCUUGAAAAGUCGAGCGACAUGCUUAUUCACAUCCCUGCUCGUACCCAUAACCGCAUCAGGUCUCCAAGGUUAGCAGCC